Molecule: ribosomal RNA, 430 nt
Filed under: uncultured deep-sea archaeon
Lineage: Archaea
Description: bacterial SSU rRNA
Rfam family: Archaeal small subunit ribosomal RNA
Source: RNAcentral
AGUGUUCAAUAGAACUGUGGUAGGUGAGUAAUGUCCCCUACUAGAAAGGAGAGGGCAAGGCUGGUGCCAGCCGCCGCGGUAAAACCAGCCCUUCAAGUGGUCGGGAUAAUUAUUGGGCUUAAAGUGUCCGUAGCCGGUUUAGUAAGUUCCUGGUAAAAUCGGGUAGCUUAACUAUCUGCAUGCUAGGAAUACUGCUAUACUAGAGGGCGGGAGAGGUCUGAGGUACUACAGGGGUAGGGGUGAAAUCUUAUAAUCCUUGUAGGACCACCAGUGGCGAAGGCGUCAGACUGGAACGCGCCUGACGGUGAGGGACGAAAGCCAGGGGAGCGAACCGGAUUAGAUACCCGGGUAGUCCUGGCCGUAAACGAUGCAUACUAGGUGAUGGUACGGCCAUGAGCCGUAUCAGUGCCGUAGGGAAACCGUUAAGUGU